RNAcentral lists this ribosomal RNA (619 nucleotides) under Hyaloscypha variabilis. RNAcentral's name for it is "partial large subunit ribosomal RNA". It matches the Rfam family "Eukaryotic large subunit ribosomal RNA", at positions 34 to 664 of the family's 3401-position model. The record is from RNAcentral. Lineage: Eukaryota; Fungi; Ascomycota; Leotiomycetes; Helotiales; Hyaloscyphaceae.
AUAAGCAUAUCAAUAAGCGGAGGAAAAGAAACCAACAGGGAUUGCCUCAGUAACGGCGAGUGAAGCGGCAACAGCUCAAAUUUGAAAUCUGGCUCUUUCAGGGUCCGAGUUGUAAUUUGUAGAAGAUGCUUUGGGUGUGGCUCCGGUCUAAGUUCCUUGGAACAGGACGUCAUAGAGGGUGAGAAUCCCGUACGUGACUGGUUGCCUCCGCCCGUGUAAAGCUCUUUCGACGAGUCGAGUUGUUUGGGAAUGCAGCUCAAAAUGGGUGGUAAAUUUCAUCUAAAGCUAAAUAUUGGCCAGAGACCGAUAGCGCACAAGUAGAGUGAUCGAAAGAUGAAAAGCACUUUGGAAAGAGAGUUAAACAGUACGUGAAAUUGUUGAAAGGGAAGCGCUUGCAACCAGACUUGCAUGCGGUUGAUCAUCCGAGCUUCUGCCCGGUGCACUCGAUCGUAUUCAGGCCAGCAUCGGUUUUGGUGGGCGGAUAAAGGCCUUGGGAAUGUAGCUUCCUUCGGGGAGUGUUAUAGCCCUCGGUGCAAUGCGCCCUACCGGGACCGAGGACCGCGCUUCGGCUAGGAUGCUGGCGUAAUGGUUGUAAGCGACCCGUUGGAAAANCACGGAA